GACGAACGCUGGCGGCGUGCUUAACACAUGCAAGUCGAACGGAAAGGCCCUGCUUUUGUGGGGUGCUCGAGUGGCGAACGGGUGAGUAACACGAGAGUAACCUGCCCUUGACUUUGGGAUAACUUCAGGAAACUGGGGCUAAUACCGGAUAGGAGCUCCUUCUGCAUGGUGGGGGUUGGAAAGUUUCGGCGGUUGGGGAUGGACUCGCGGCUUAUCAGCUUGUUGGUGGGGUAGUGGCUUACCAAGGCUUUGACGGGUAGCCGGCCUGAGAGGGUGACCGGCCACAUUGGGACUGAGAUACGGCCCAGACUCCAACGGGAGGCAGCAGGGGGGAAUAUGGCACAAUGGGCCGAAGCCGGAUGAAGCAGCGCCGCGUGCGGGAUGACGGCCUUCGGGUUGUAAACCGCUUUCGCCUGUGACGAAGCGUGAGUGACGGUAAUGGAUAAAGAAGCACCGGCUAACUACGUG
RNAcentral lists this ribosomal RNA (468 nucleotides) under uncultured bacterium. RNAcentral describes it as "partial 16S ribosomal RNA". It matches the Rfam family "Bacterial small subunit ribosomal RNA", at positions 28 to 507 of the family's 1533-position model. The record is from RNAcentral.